Chelonia mydas (Green sea turtle) is the source of this 73-nucleotide non-coding RNA. The record is from Rfam. Lineage: Eukaryota; Metazoa; Chordata; Testudines; Cheloniidae.
GACCACGUGACCUAACAGCUAAGGCGUCUGACUUCGGAUCAGACAAUUGAGGGCUCAAGUCCCUUCACGGUUG